AAAGCCAGCAUUUCCUGCCAGGGGUCUUUCUGUUUUCUCUCUCAAACAGGAAGUUGGCCUGGGAAAGGCUGAAAGUGCUGCCCUUUGACCCCCAGGAGCUAGGCGCCAGGCCCUCCCUGACAGCAACCCUGAGAGCCACUUCCCCAGGACUUGCCAUUCCCAGACACAGAGCAGACCCUGUCCUGGCUCCCCCCAGACUCCCUGGCACCUCUGGAUGACCACCCGGAGCAUAUGUACUGAGCUACAGCGUGUGUCACACAUGUGGCCUCGUCCUCAUCAAUCGUUCCCCAUAUAGGGGCCACCGUCACUGUCCUAUUUUAUGCUCCAUCCAGAGGCUCAGAAGAGACAGCCCUAGAUGGGUCUUCUGCUGGUCAGCAAAGGUCCCCACCUGGAGGAAGCACUCAGCCCAGGUACUGGAUGCCACAGCAGCCAGGCAGCAGUGCCAGGGGCUCUCCUGGGCCUGGAGUACCCAGACAAGCUGCAGAACCAGCAGGACGAGACACUGCCCCACCUGCCUGCUCCCUCCUCUCCCUGCAGCUGAGGUAGGGAAUCUGUCCUUGCUCUGCACCCAAGGCCCUUUCACUCGGCCUGACUCCCCAGGGCACCCCACCCAUGCACACCAUGCCCAGGAGUAAGCCAUCCAUACUCUAAUCCCACCCCACCCCUCCACACUCACACACCCCCUCCCCAGCUUCAGACCCAGCCUGCUUCUCCAUUGGUUGUGUGUCUUUUGUAAAUUCCCCGGCCCUCUCCGGGCUUUAGUUUCCCCUCUGUAAAAUGGGCGCUACAGCAAAUGGGUUGACCAAACCUACAUCCAAUAACUUACCUCACAUUAAGAUACCUCACAUUAAAAUAAAAG
This 859-nucleotide long non-coding RNA is filed under the name Heterocephalus glaber (naked mole-rat). Its description in RNAcentral is "lncRNA (ENSHGLG00100049872.1)". The record is from RNAcentral. Lineage: Eukaryota; Metazoa; Chordata; Mammalia; Rodentia; Bathyergidae.